This is a long non-coding RNA of Pezoporus occidentalis (night parrot), 423 nucleotides long. RefSeq lists it as uncharacterized. NCBI's taxonomy places the organism in Eukaryota, Metazoa, Chordata, Aves, Psittaciformes, Psittacidae. The record is from RefSeq and is a predicted model, not a curated record. The transcript has 3 exons.
GGGAGCCUGCAGGGCGAGACGCGGGGGCACCGGUCCGCGGUCAUUCCUGUGCUGCUGCGGUGAAACCCGUUUUGCUCGCAGUAGGCGAGAGAGGAAAGAAACCCCUCCCGGGCCCGGUUGGCUUUCACGGUGUGGCCCGCAGCGUUACCUCUCUGAGGCGGGGUCCAGCCUCGGAGGAAUUUAAGAUGUAGUUCAGAGAUUAGUUUGCUCAGAGAUGUGCUGCACCCCACAGAGAAGGAUCCACAUUAAGGAUUGAAAAUUUAGUGAUACACAUUCAAGCCUCUGGUUUCCAUAUGUAGUGAAGAUACCCAAAAGAAGCAGCAGCAGUGGAAUUGUAUGAGAACCCUGAGACUGUCACUAUGCUGGAUUUAAACAAAUUCUGUUAAUCCUGCACUAACCUGAGCUCUCACAUCAUGCAAAAGA